GUCAACGGAUCACCGCUUGUCCUUUUUUGGAUGACUUUUGGUAGGUGCUAACCACUGCAUACCAGGAACACCAUACUAGACCUGCCAUUUGGGAGAUGCUCUGACCCAGUUGUCGAGCCAUAACAAUUUGGGCCUUGUCAAAGUCACUCAGAUCCUUAUGCUUGCCCAUUUUUCCUGCUUUCAACACCUCAAUUUCGAGAAUUGACCGUUCACGUCCUGCCUAAUAUGUCCCACCCCUUGACAGGUGCCACUGUAAUGAGAUAAUCAAUGUUAUUAAGUUCACCUGUUAGUGGUUUUAAUGUUAUGGCUGAUAGGUGAAUAUAUGCAAUACACAUUUAAUCAUACAAUAUAAUGUUUCUGCUCUAGUUAUUACAGUUCAAUCAAAAUUAUUCAACCCUCACUGCAAAUCAGGUUUAUUGUCAAAAUUUACAGACUUCCAGCUGUUUGCGAUGAACAAAUCAAACAAAAGCAAUUCAAAUAGUUCAACACAAUGAUUGCUUCAAGUGGUUUAUCCCCAAAUUCACCUGAAAAUGCAACUUAUAAUGACUUCUCCAGUUUCAAAAUUACAACCCCCUGAAUAGAAUCCCUCACAACAGCACAAAUAUACAAAACAGGUGUUGUCUCAAGCACACAUGAUGCAAUUAAUCAAGGGCUUCAUUAGUUGCAAAAGUUGUGCUUGAGCUGGAACACAUGAAAUACCUGAACUGGCUAGGGGCACAAAAUAUAUGAAAUACCUGGACGGGGCAGAAAAAGGAAGCUAUCAACAGCUGCAAGCAGAUUUCUGAGAAGGCAGGUUGUGAAAAACCCUCGAGUGACUGCCAAAGACCUUCAGCAAGACUUGGUGCUAACAGGUGCUGAGGUUUCAGUGAGCACAGUAAUGCGCGUACUACAUGCAGAAGAUUUCCGUGCCAAAACUCCAAGACGUUCACCACUACUGACCCAACAGCACAAAAACGUCAGGUCAAAAUCAUAUAAAUAAGCCACAGAAGUUUUGGGAUUCUGUUCUGUGGAGCGAUGAAACAAAACUGGAACUUUUCGGCACGAUGGAUCAGCGGUAUGUCUGGAGGAAGAAGAAUGAAGAAAGAACGCUCUGUCCACAGUCAAGCAUGGUGGAGGCUCGGUGAUGCUCUGGGGCUGCUUUGCAUCCUCUGGCACUGGAAACCUGCCGCGUGUGGAAGGCAAGAUGGAUCCAUUGAAGUAUCGGGAAAUCCUAGGAGAAAACAUCAUGCCGUCUGUGAGGAAGCUGAAGCUUGGGCAUCAUUGGUCCUUCCAACAGGACAAUGAUCCCAAGCAUACCUCAAAUUCCACCAAGGCUUGGUUGCAGAAGAAGUCCUGGAAGAUUCUACAGGACCAUCACAGUCACCUGACUUGAAACCCAUAGAAAAUCUCUGGUGGGAUUUGAAGAAGGCGGUUGCAGCACGCAGUCCCAAGAAUAUUACAGAACUGGACUCCAUUGCUCAUGAGGAACAGGCUAAGGUUCCUCAGGAACGCUGCCAGAAACUGGUGUCUGGCUCUGCAUCUCGUUUGUAGCAGGUCACAUCAGCAAAAGGGUGCUCUACUGGAGAAAACAUUAUAAGUUGCAUUUUCAGUUGAAUUUGUGGAAACCACUUGAAGCAUUCGUCAUGUCGAACUAUUUCAAUAAACCUGAUUUGCAAUGAGGGUUGAGUCAUUUUGAUUGCAACUGUAAAUGCACAAUAAUUUAAUUUGUUUUUGUUUGUUCUUCCGAACAAACAAAAAUAGGCGAAAUAUACGUUCAAAAAUGUAUUAGUGAACCUGAUUACAGAUUUUUUUUUUAAAAAACAACAACCUUCCCUCACUUCACCUUGUGCUAAUCCAUGCAGCUUCUACUAAUUCCCCCAAAAGCCUUACAAAUUGCACCUGUUUAAUUCUUAAAGUGACAAUAACAAGAGCAUUAAGCACUAUUGCUGUCGUCGGCAAGUUAAUUUAUCCCUCUAAUAUGGAUUUGCUGAGCAAAGGAAAGCAAGAGACGAUUUGUCUCAUUUUGUAUAACGUAAACACAGUGUGGUCGUGUGUUUUUCUGUUCUGUGCACAUCUAUACCUCCUGGUUUUAGGGUGCCUUGGAUACAUAAACAGGUCUGGGUUUUUCACAAAACCCCAUGCAACCAAACGUAUUAAAUGACCCCCCCCCCCCCCCCCCCUCUUUUCUUUCUAAACAAUCUUCCUAGCAGAUCCUUUAUAUUUCCCUUUCUCCAUCAGAGGGCAGUAUUGAACUGUGAGAUUUGUACCCAUCCAAAAUCUCACCCAAAUGACUCUCCUUGCUCAGAAAUGAUAUUGUGGGGGGGGAGAGAAAAGAAACAUGUUUUCUCAGAUGUUGUCGGAGGCAUGAUAAUGUCUCGCAGUAAAGCUGUUGCACCUACCUGUCAUAACUAAAUAAGCAUCUUCCACAACAGAGGCAGAACAGGGCACGCUCCAUUCGUUUAGGCCAUUGCGAAGAUGUUUUCUUCACGAAACGUUGUUUGCUCGAAGAAGCCGUGGCUCCUCCCUGACACGCCGCACACUUUAAGCCUCGGAUGUGUGACUAGGCCAUGUUGAUGGUUCAUUACUCAACAUAAAUUCAGCAGUGCACGAAAUGAAGUGAAAGGUGAGUAAGCCAUGUUCACUUAUUUUAUGUAGACGAUGCCACUCUGUUGAUAACUACAGGCUCAGAUGUGUGGCUCGUUAUGAUUUAAAGGGAUUUGGAUCCCAGUGGGAAAAAAAAAAGUGUAGGUUUUGACUUGAACAGGUGAGUAACCCGGUUGUCACAAAAUAUCCGCUGAAGCUGAACGCACUAAGGUAGGAAAUGGCAAACGAUGUGAUUUAUUCAUUUUGCAACAAUUCCAUUUUUAUUCAUGAAAAGAAACAUACUUUUUUUCCCCAUCUGUUUAUUGUUAGUUUUUUUCUUCUUUUUCCUGAAGUUAAGAUGAGAUAAAAGUUCUCUUACAUUGCACUGACAUUGAACACAACUUCCUUCCAAACAUACCAAAUAAACGUCUCCUCCCAGAAAACUACACCAUAUCGACGAUUGCAUUUCACACCAUACAAGUCCCAGUGUAGGUUGUUACUGUAGAAACGAUAAUGUAUUAGAACUAAUGUCAGAGCCAAUGUGGUAGAAAAGUAAUCGACAUCAUCUGACCAAACAGAAUUGAGAAUUCAGUGGUGUAUGUAGUGUACGGGGUACAGGUGUGACCUUGCUAUAGAAUGAAUUCACUUGGAGAAAUUAUGAGUUUGGAUGCAAAUGAUUUUGUACACAUUACUGAUUACUAAUUAUAGUAAAGGAAGCGUUUGAAAUGUGUGUGUGAAUUUUUUGUUUUCUUUUUCAAACCACUGCACUCAAUUAUAGAUAAAUGCGACCAAUUCGUAAAUUCUUAAUUCAUAAACAUCUACACAUCUAGCCUGAGCUGAAAUCAGAGACGGUAAAUGAGACGGAUGGUCAUGUUUUCUAACAAUAAAAUCUGAUUGACAUAUUGCGCACAAGCCUAAAACUGACCUUAUGAUUGCAUUUCGCCUGGGUGCUAUGUCAACAUGGACUGAAGCUCAAAAUAUCCGAACACAAUUAACUAACAAUGCUCCAACGAGCCAAAAAAGGCUCGAAGCCGAAGGCCUCUCAAAAUCAAUUUAGUCAAUGUAGCCGUACACAAAGUAAAGCCAUGUCAGCUUUUUGAGCCGCACGCUCGAUAGAUAGAAAAAUAAUUCUGUUAUGUCUAAUAGUGCUCCUCUAAAUGACUAUAGGCAUUUACUUUGAAGCAACGCGUCGACGGGCCGAUGUGCGAGAGCUUACUUCUUUUCUUCUUCUGAUGAAGACUUCCAUCAAACUCAACUCAACACUACUUCUUCCAUGAAACAAAGAAGGGGCGCAUGGAUGUGUCCUGACGUCCAAUGAAGCUGUAACUGACAAGAUUGCGAUAAGGGUGGAUUAGCAAGAUGAGAGCUGCCAAGUCGAAUCAACUUCCUGGGAUGCAUCAUGCAGGUUUGGAGAGAGGGAUUAGGGACUCAGUCGCCCUUUAAGGUGGAUCAGCGUAAGCCCAAGCCCUAUUCAGUCCAAUUUGGACUAAUGACCAAAGAAUCCUUUUACAUUGCGUGAUUUUUGUUUUUUGUUCGAAAGCGCACUCCACCACCAUAAUCAAAACACCACUUGAGGGAAUAUAUUUUGGAAGAAUCCUGUUCAUCACUCCAGUACAGAUCUAGAGACUUGUAGAAUCAAUGCCAAGCUGUUCUGCUGGCCCAACCGCUUACUAAGAUGCUUCAUGUUGUCUUUUCCUUUAAUUUGUCGAUAAUUAAUUGGUACAUUUUAAAUGACACUAGUGAAUUGCCCCCAUUUAUAACGCAAUUGGAAUUUAUUACUUGCACUUUAGUUGAGGGAAUAGAAGCCUGCGAAUAGCUCUUUGUUUACAUUGGGCUCAUCAGUUUAAUUUUCACCUUUAUAUUCUAAUCAGUGCUCAGCUCAAAUAACUGCUCUGUACAAAAUAAACAUCGUCCCCUACUGAAACAGUCAGAUCCACUCUAAAUCUCAGGAGCACAGUCAAACAUCCAUAACAAGUGAGAACAUACUGCGUAGGCUCUGCUCUGGCGUAGUGGAGGUGUGCGUGGGUGUAAGUGAGCCAGGAGAGGGGAAAGGAGCUGUACACACGUACACUGGAGAAAACACCAUGCUUACUUUCUCAGCAAGUGCUAAUCAGGUAGAACAGAAAUGAG
Long non-coding RNA from Ictalurus punctatus (channel catfish), 4692 nucleotides. The record is from Ensembl. Lineage: Eukaryota; Metazoa; Chordata; Actinopteri; Siluriformes; Ictaluridae.